This 450-nucleotide ribosomal RNA is filed under the name uncultured bacterium. RNAcentral's name for it is "bacterial SSU rRNA". It matches the Rfam family "Bacterial small subunit ribosomal RNA", at positions 355 to 825 of the family's 1533-position model. The record is from RNAcentral.
UCAAGAAACUUCCACAAUGGGCGAAAGCCUGAUGGAGCGACGUCGCGUGAUGGACGAAGUGCUUCGGCACGUAAACAUCUUUUAUGUGGGAUGAAAUUAUUGACAGUACCACAUGAAUAAGGGGCUCCUAACUCUGUGCCAGCAGGAGCGGUAAUACAGAGGCCCCAAGCGUUAUCCGGAAUCACUGGGCGUAAAGGGUGUCGAGGCGGUUGUAUUAGUCGUUCGUAAAAUCUACGAGCUUAACUUGUAGGCGGCGAACGAAACGGUACGACUUGAGGUUUGGAGAGGUGCGUGGAACUCACGGUGUAGGGGUGAAAUCCGUUGAUAUCGUGGGGAACACCAAGGGCGAAGGCAGCGCACUGGCCAAAAUCUGACGCUCACACACGAAAGCUAGGGUAGCGAAGAGGAUUAGAUACCCACGUAGUCCCUGAGCGGGCUGGCAAGGCGCAU